GGAAGACAUUGAACAUUUUAUGUAAUUAUUUUCCAGUGGUUUCCAACGAACUAAUUUUUAAUCACGAAUGUUUCAGUUUAGUUUAUGAUAAGUUAUAAUUAUUAUUUUAACUUGAAACAAAGUCAAUGGAGUUGUCAGUAAAAAGCAAAGAAUACUAUGGACUUAUACUGUCGGAUUUUGAGGGAAAGAAAAACAGUUAAUUACUAAGACUUUCGAUUUGCUUGUCAUAUAUUUUUUCUUUGUUAAUUUACACAUACGUGUGAUAUAUUUCUUGUUGGCUUAACAGAAAGGCGUUGACUGUGUAAGCACUGAGUGAAGCUGCCCUCAGCGAAGUUUAGUCGCUUUUUGUCCGUUUAAAGUAGGGUGAAGACAUUAGCUUAGCAGCAACUACUAACUAGGAGUAAAAUGUAAUAAGAAGCAAGUGAAGCAACAAAUAAACAACAACCAAAAGCUCGUCUAACAAAUAAGCUUAAAAAAAAUAUUACCGAAUUUAAAUUCACUUCUCGUUUGCAGCCAUAUUUUUUAAAAAUAAAGUUUAAGCUGAAGGAAAUAAUGUUGGACCUAGAAACAGCUUUUUCAUCAUUGACUAACAUUUUAGUGUUGAACAAGAAAGGGUAUAAAUAUGAUCUGUGAGUGCCGUAGUUUUUCCCGCUUUUGUUGUUUGUUGUGGGUGUCGAAGCGCAUGAUGGCUGAAAGCAUGUAAGAGUGUGUAUUGUGAGCUUAAAGUACGAGAAACUGGGUUAAUAAUGUCAUUUGCUGCACUGGAGGGCACAACAGCGAUGUUGGGUUGGUAACAACACCACGAACAUGAGCCCUGAGCGUUUGGGCAUUAGAAUUUAAAGCGUUCCAUUUAACAUCGAAUGCCAUAAGAGCAACCUCUAUUGCAAGUUUUCCGGCUGUCAUGGGAAUUUCCCAUUUGCUUGUUUCUAUUAGAGUGCGAAUUUUGCAAAUAUAUGCUGGCAUUUAUCAUUACCAUUAUCGUUAUUCAGUUAGAUAAGUUUAAAAUGUAUAUUGUUAAGAGAAGUAAACAAUUUUGGGACCAUUUUUAUCUGACGAAAGCGAUUAGCGCAAAUAAACAAUCCGCAGCUCGCAAAUCACUUAGCUAUUUUGAGCUCAUACAAACAGCAUGAUAAGUCAUCGUAACUUGAAGAGAACCGUCUCUGUACUGAAUCUUUUUGUAUAUUUUAAUGACUCAUUCAAAUAUCACUCAGCACGUUUUCACUGUUGUAAAACAAUCAUAAAUUUGUUAUCUAACGAUGAAAAUAAAAAAAACAGAAAUAUAAAUUCUCUUGAUGAUAAUGCAUGCGUCACAUUAACUUUUGAAUGCUUUUUGAAGAUCUCCAUCAGGUAGUCCUUUCUAGGUUUGAGUGUUAAAGCUUCUGCUUGCAAAAACAAAAUUUCAAUUAAAUACAUUCAUAAAUUUAUGAAGGCAGCACAGUAACAAACGGCUCAGUUUGACCCAGCAAGCCCCAAAGCAUUUUUCAUAGUCAAAAGCAAUGAAUAACCUAGAAAAAGGGUUUGUGGUAGAUGAAUUCCUCACAUCCUUCCAUUUCACCCACUUAUUUCACCCAUCCCGCCCAGGCACAUGUGCAAUUUUUCACAUAUGGCACAUAUGCAAAUAUCAAUACUGUUGCCAUUGCCAUAUAUGUAUGUAUAAACCAGAAACUGGGUUAUGCGCAAACUGAGAAAUCCACUCUGAAUAUUUGUAAUACCCAAAUUUUGUAGCAAUUCGUUGAGCUUUGUUGAUCCGUAGUCCCUAUAUUUUCCUUUUACAAUACAUUUCAAUACUGUAUGAAAUGUGUUUUUAAGUCUUCGUUCAAGUAAAGAUACAUACAUAGCCGCACAUGUAAGCAUCGUAACUGUACGUCACAGUAAGAUUUAAUGCAUGAAAUAAAUUUCAAUUCAUCUGCUUUACCAAAUAUUUUUAUAUUAGUUUCGGCGCUAAUCAUUAACUCGACAUCACACUAAUCGUGCGUUUAGGUUUUAAAUUUAACCGAAUAAAUUAUGGCGUAUUUCAAAAUUCACGUUAUUAAAUUUUAAUGACAUAAAUGUCGUUUCAUCGAUAGCUUUAUUUAAAUAAUAAAUCAGGGAAUUUACGCUGAAUUUGAAAAAAGAAAAAUAGCCCACUUCUGUAUGCCGCUUUUUCUGUUUUCAAUUUUCACAAGACACUCAUUUCUAAAUUGUUAAUGAGUCUGUCGGCGUUUAGCAAGUUUCCAGUUGCCAGUGCCCGACUGAGCGUGUUAGCUAAGCCAUGACAGCUAGACCCCAAACUCCGAUUCGGUGCCAUCAUCCCGGUUUAUAUGGGGAUUUUGUUCAUACAUAAAUAAGGAAUCCAUUAUCAAAUGGCGUUGCUAAUAUAGCUACAGUGCCAGCAAAAACCACAGCAGCUGGGUAGCUGGGUAACCAUGCCUAUGACGAUGGCAACGCCAACAAAAAGGCAUAAAAAACCAUAGACAAUGCGAGGAGCGCAGUACAAAAGUUGCGCCUGCCUUUUUCGCAUUCAACUUACUUUGGAGUUGGAAAAAAAAUAUACUCUAUAUAUAUAUGCAUAUUCGUACAUACUUCUGAUUUAUAAGCACGCUCUUUUGCACACAAGCCCUGCACAUUUAUAAUGAGCAUAUUGCCAAAGCAGAACUAAGGAAUAAAGCAAAGGAAAUGAACACCAGAACUGCGAUUGAACAGUGGGCUCAACAUUGUAUUAUUAUAUGUAUACUAUUAUGUUAUACUUUAUAAUUUGUAUUAUGUAUUAUGUGAUAAAUACAAAUACUGAAUAAAUGAGCUGAUUUCCUUUUUUCGGUGGCUUAGGGAGCACUUUGCUCACUCUUGGUGAAUGCCGGAUUUUCGUGCCCACUGUAGGGAAAACAGUUCGAAACUUUUUCAUUAUGCUGAUGGUUCUUCCUCCUGCCCGACUGCUCUACGUACCAGGUAACUUCCAGCCUGAGUACCCCCACGAGUUUCAACAGGCAAGCCCGGCCCAAAGCUGUCUAAAAUUUGAAAAAAAAAAAAAAAAAUUAAAAGAAAAAAAAACUAUAAACCGUAGUUGGGAAUUGCCGUCGUCUGGAAGUUGGCAAACGGUUUGUGACGAUGACGACAGCGCCGACACUAGCAAUUAAAAAUUUUCCACAAAAAGUUGCAGGCAGCCAGCGACGCCCACUUUUGGCACUGAAUUUUGUGGCAGCAACACAGGAGCAGGGCAGCCACAAACUUAUUAAUUUAACAAUUACAAAAUAAAUUGUGAGUGCGCCAAUUAAUUUGCGGUCGGUAAAGAUACACACAAAAGAGGGUAAAAGCCGGGCACAAUUCGGUAGGAAGAUGAAAAAGUCGUCAGCAUCAUUAAGUGACAUUUGUGUUACUUUCCAUUGACGUUAAUUGGUAAGGAGCUCGUCUGGAGUCUGGAGCCUGGUGUAGGCCGGGUUUGCCUGGUUGCCAGGAAAAACAUUUCAAAGAGGUUGGGAAAACUCCUAUUAACUGAGAGUCUGCCAUAAUUGCUUUGAUUGUUUGCCAAAAAUGUCCAAUAGACGUGAGGAGAUGAGAGGAAAAUGCUGGAAAAUAGAAAGACAAGUGCCAAGUCUGCUCAAGCUUUCAAAGACUCGCCAAAAUUCCUUUUUCCCAUUUUACAUUAAACCCACCUUAAGCUUUAACUACCUUAUCAAAGACAAA
This is a long non-coding RNA of Drosophila yakuba, 3660 nucleotides long. RefSeq lists it as uncharacterized. The record is from RefSeq and is a predicted model, not a curated record. Lineage: Eukaryota; Metazoa; Arthropoda; Insecta; Diptera; Drosophilidae. The transcript has 2 exons.